GAUGAACGCUGGCGGCGUGCCUAAUACAUGCCAGUCGAGCGAACAGACGAGGAGCUUGCUCCUCUGACGUUAGCGGCGGACGGGUGAGUAACACGUGGAUAACCUACCUAUAAGACUGGGAUAACUUCGGGAAACCGGAGCUAAUACCGGAUAAUAUAUUGAACCGCAUGGUUCAAUAGUGAAAGACGGUUUUGCUGUCACUUAUAGAUGGAUCCGCGCCGCAUUAGCUAGUUGGUAAGGUAACGGCUUACCAAGGCAACGAUGCGUAGCCGACCUGAGAGGGUGAUCGGCCACACUGGAACUGAGACACGGUCCAGACUCCUACGGGAGGCAGCAGUAGGGAAUCUUCCGCAAUGGGCGAAAGCUUGACGGAGCAACGCCGCGUGAGUGAUGAAGGUCUUCGGAUCGUAAAACUCUGUUAUUAGGGAAGAACAAAUGUGUAAGUAACUAUGCACGUCUUGACGGAACCUAAUCAGAAAGCCACGGCUAACUACGUG
This 497-nucleotide ribosomal RNA is filed under the name uncultured bacterium. RNAcentral's name for it is "partial 16S ribosomal RNA". It matches the Rfam family "Bacterial small subunit ribosomal RNA", at positions 28 to 507 of the family's 1533-position model. The record is from RNAcentral.